Molecule: ribosomal RNA, 254 nt
Filed under: uncultured bacterium
Lineage: Bacteria
Description: partial 16S ribosomal RNA
Rfam family: Bacterial small subunit ribosomal RNA
Source: RNAcentral
UACGGGGGGGGCAAGCGUUGUUCGGAAUUACUGGGCGUAAAGGGCGCGCAGGCGGCUGCUCAAGUCAGGCGUGAAAGGCCUGGGCUCAACCCGGGAAUUGCGCUUGAGACUGGGCUGGCUUGAGUGCGGGAGAGGAUGGUGGAAUUCCCAGUGUAGAGGUGAAAUUCGUAGAUAUUGGGAAGAACACCGGUGGCGAAGGCGGCCAUCUGGACCGCAACUGACGCUGAGGCGCGAAAGCUAGGGGAGCAAACAGG